UACGUAGGGUGCGAGCGUUAAUCGGAAUUACUGGGCGUAAAGCGUGCGCAGGCGGCUUCGCAAGUCAGGCGUGAAAUCCCCGGGCUUAACCUGGGAACUGCAUUGGUGACUGGCAGGCUUUGAGUGUGGCAGAGGGAGGUAGAAUUCCACGUGUAGCAGUGAAAUGCGUAGAGAUGUGGAGGAAUACCGAUUGCGAAGGCAGCCUCCUGGGCCAACACUGACGCUCAGGCACGAAAGCGUGGGGAGCAAACAGG
This 254-nucleotide ribosomal RNA is filed under the name uncultured bacterium. RNAcentral describes it as "partial 16S ribosomal RNA". It matches the Rfam family "Bacterial small subunit ribosomal RNA", at positions 524 to 776 of the family's 1533-position model. The record is from RNAcentral.